UUCUUGUUUAAGGCCAGAUGCAGCCCUAUGGGUGUGGAAUGUUCUUGCUGUGUUGAAGACCCAUUGGUGGCCUUGGUCUUUUUUCUGCUCUUUGGUCGGAUUGUGGUCUCUGAUACAUUCCCUGUUUCCAUUCUCCAUUUUAUUAUACUAAUGUAAAAGGAGAAGGAGAUACAUCUUUUGAAUUUUUGAGUAUGCCCACCUUACAGGGGGUAGUUUUACAGGAACUCUCAUAAACUUCAAUUACUGAUAAAAUAGAGGUUAAUAAAAUGCUUGGCUUGAAGCUUGCAGAGGUCAAAAC
This 298-nucleotide long non-coding RNA is filed under the name Mytilus galloprovincialis (Mediterranean mussel). Lineage: Eukaryota; Metazoa; Mollusca; Bivalvia; Mytilida; Mytilidae. The record is from RNAcentral.